This 370-nucleotide long non-coding RNA is filed under the name Homo sapiens (human). RNAcentral describes it as "non-protein coding lnc-SPANXB1-3:1". Lineage: Eukaryota; Metazoa; Chordata; Mammalia; Primates; Hominidae. The record is from RNAcentral.
AUGGUGAAUGUUCCUAAAACCCGCCGGACUUUCUGUAAGAAGUGUGGCAAGCGCCAACCCCACAAAGUGACACAGUACAAGAAGGGCAAGCAUUCUCUGCAUGCCCAGGGAAAGCGAUAUUAUGACAGGGAGCAGAGUGGCUAUGGUGCCUGCCCAGGGAAAGCGGUGUUAUGACAGGAAGCAGAGUGGCUAUGGUGGGCAGACUAAGCCGAUUUUCUGGAAAAAGGCUAAAACUACAAAGAAGAUUGUGCUAAGGCUUGAGUGUGUUGAGCCCAACUGCAGAUCUAAGCGAACACUGGCUAUUAAAAGAUGCAAGCAUUUUGAGCUGGGAGGAGAUAAGAAGAGAAAGGGCCAAGUGAUCCAGUUCUAA